Molecule: ribosomal RNA, 492 nt
Filed under: uncultured bacterium
Lineage: Bacteria
Description: partial 16S ribosomal RNA
Rfam family: Bacterial small subunit ribosomal RNA
Source: RNAcentral
AGUGAACGCUGGCGGUAGGCCUAACACAUGCAAGUCGAACGGCAGCACAGUAAGAGCUUGCUCUUACGGGUGGCGAGUGGCGGACGGGUGAGGAAUACAUCGGAAUCUACUUUUUUGUGGGGGAUAACGUAGGGAAACUUACGCUAAUACCGCAUACGACCUACGGGUGAAAGCAGGGGAUCUUCGGACCUUGCGCGAUUGGAUGAGCCGAUGUCGGAUUAGCUAGUUGGCGGGGUAACGGCCCACCAAGGCGACGAUCCGUAGCUGGUCUGAGAGGAUGAUCAGCCACACUGGAACUGAGACACGGUCCAGACUCCUACGGGAGGCAGCAGUGGGGAAUAUUGGACAAUGGGCGCAAGCCUGAUCCAGCCAUACCGCGUGGGUGAAGAAGGCCUUCGGGUUGUAAAGCCCUUUUGUUGGGAAAGAAAAGCAGCAGGUUAAUACCCCGCUGUUCUGACGGUACCCAAAGAAUAAGCACCGGCUAACUUCGUG